This 219-nucleotide ribosomal RNA is filed under the name Shigella sonnei. RNAcentral's name for it is "partial 16S ribosomal RNA". It matches the Rfam family "Bacterial small subunit ribosomal RNA", at positions 1 to 218 of the family's 1533-position model. The record is from RNAcentral. Lineage: Bacteria; Pseudomonadati; Pseudomonadota; Gammaproteobacteria; Enterobacterales; Enterobacteriaceae.
AAAUUGAAGAGUUUGAUCAUGGCUCAGAUUGAACGCUGGCGGCAGGCCUAACACAUGCAAGUCGAACGGUAACAGGAAGCAGCUUGCUGCUUCGCUGACGAGUGGCGGACGGGUGAGUAAUGUCUGGGAAACUGCCUGAUGGAGGGGGAUAACUACUGGAAACGGUAGCUAAUACCGCAUAAUGUCGCAAGACCAAAGAGGGGGCCCUUCGGGCCUCUU